This 75-nucleotide transfer RNA is filed under the name Alphaproteobacteria bacterium. RNAcentral's name for it is "tRNA-Lys". It matches the Rfam family "tRNA". From Rfam's summary of the family: Transfer RNA (tRNA) molecules are approximately 80 nucleotides in length. Their secondary structure includes four short double-helical elements and three loops (D, anti-codon, and T loops). The record is from RNAcentral. Lineage: Bacteria; Pseudomonadati; Pseudomonadota; Alphaproteobacteria.
GGGCGCGUAGCUCAGCGGCAGAGCAUCUGACUUUUAAUCAGAGGGUCGCGGGUUCGAUCCCCGCCGCGCUCACCA